UGACUUGUAAAAGGAAAGCCUAUAGCCAGUUAUAGUUGCGUGGAUGUAAAUUACCAAAGUAACUGGAUACAAGUCUAGCAUGUCAAAGUCGGUUGUCUAGCCACAGCCAGCUGGAGUGAUGCCAAGUCGAUAUGCGAGUUCGGAGGCAGAGCUGUUGAGGCACUAGACUGAUGUCCUCCACUCUAAUUCCCUGAUCCUGUGAUACUAGCAGACAGUGGUCAGCCACAGCUGGUACUUCAAUUUGUUCUAUGAGAAAAGAUCUGUGAACUACAGGCAUCCAGCGUCUUUGGGCAAAAAAAUUACAGUCAAGUUUU
This 314-nucleotide unclassified non-coding RNA is filed under the name Patiria miniata (bat star). RNAcentral's name for it is "piggyBac transposable element-derived protein 4-like, transcript variant X3". Lineage: Eukaryota; Metazoa; Echinodermata; Asteroidea; Valvatida; Asterinidae. The record is from RNAcentral.